GAGUUUGAUCGUGGCUCAGAUUGAACGCUGGCGGCAGGCUUAACACAUGCAAGUCGAGCGGGGGAGGUUGCUUCGGUAACUGACCUAGCGGCGGACGGGUGAGUAAUACUUAGGAAUCUGCCUAUUAAUGGGGACGAACAUCUCGAAAGGGAUGCUAAUACCGCAUACGCCCUACGGGGAAAGGCAGGGGAUCACUUGUGACCUUGCGUUAAUAGAUGAGCCUAAGUCGGAUUAGCUAGUUGGUGGGGUAAAGGCCUACCAAGCGACGAUCUGUAGCGGGUCGUGAGAGGAUGAUCCGCCACACUGGGACGUGAGACACGGCCCACGACUCCUACGGGAGGGCAGCAGUGGGG
This 353-nucleotide ribosomal RNA is filed under the name uncultured microorganism. RNAcentral's name for it is "bacterial SSU rRNA". It matches the Rfam family "Bacterial small subunit ribosomal RNA", at positions 9 to 359 of the family's 1533-position model. The record is from RNAcentral.